UGCUGCCACAGUGUGGCUUGAUGAGCAGUGCUAGGUCCGAACCUGCAAACUCCUGGCCACUGAAGCAGAGUGUGUGAGCUUAACCGCUAUGCCACCAGGCUGGCUCCUCAAAAAUAUUUUGUAGCUUUCAUUAUGUAUGGUUUUAAAAUGUCUUACUAAAUUUAUUCUUAGAUAUUUUAUCUUAUUCUUGCUACUAUAAAUGGCAUUUUCUCUUCCAUUGGUUAUAAUUUUUGAACAUAAUGAUUACUGAUUUUUGCAUAUUCAUUUUGUAGAUUUCUACUGCGUAAAACUAUUUUAUAAUUGAGUUUAUCUUGUCAUUGAUUUUGUAAGAUUUUCCAGGUAUACUAUUUUUUCAUCUCAUAAUAAAUAUGGUUAUAUCUCUUCUUUUUGCCAAUUCUUAUGCUUCUAAUUGUUUUUCUCUUGUUUAAUUGCAUUGGUUGACACUUUCAGAACAAUGUUAAAUCACAGUGGAUAUGGUGGGCAUUAUUGCCUUAUGAGAAUGUCUGUCUCUAAUGGUUCCCUAUUACAUAAGAGGCUGUGUGUGAAUAUAUGACUACAAUUUUAAGGAAAUAGGAAAUAUAUACCCAUUUCUAAUUUCUCAAGAGAUUUUAAAGAAUGGAGAUUGAUUUUUGUCAAAGACGUUUCAUUAUUAUUAGCAUGAAUAGAGACAAAUAGACCAAUGGAACAGAAUAGGGACUUCAUACAUGGACCCAAACUAAGGUAGCUAUGUGAUUGUUGAGAUAAGUGCCAACAAAAUUUAAUGUGGAGUGGAAAACCUUUGCAACAGCUGGUACCAGAACAACUGGAUAUCUGAAUGAUAAAGUGAACCAUAGCCCUUAAUUCACAUAUUUGCACCAAUUUUUUUUGAGAUGGAUUAUUCACAUAAACACAAAAUCUAAAAUCCAUACAGCUUUUGAAGAAAACAGAAAAAUAACUUUGUAACCCGAGGGAGGCAAAAUUUCCCUUAUGAAGGAUGCCAAAAGGACUAACUAUAAAAGAAAACUGAUAAAUUGGGUUUCAUCAAAAUAAAAUAAUAAUUCUUCUCAUCAAAAUCUACUGUUGAAAUAGACUGAGAGAAAUAUUUAUCAUACAGUCAAUUAUUUUAUGUGCAGUAGUUAUGUUCUAUAAAGUCACCGUGAACACUGAAUUAGCAUCUACUGAGCUAUUGCUCCUAGGAGAAAUACAAGGUUAGUUUCCUUUGAGCCUCUGGUCCAAACAUUUUUGUCAGUGGAUCAAUAUGUAACAUUGUUUUAUGUGUGUUUUUGUUUAAAGCCAUCUUAUUUAAUACACGGUGUUGAUUCAUUAACAUUGAACUCACAGCCAGCAGCACUAUAACUCACGCCUGAAUGGAGCUUGUUUAACACAUAUUUUCUCCAUAAGAUACCUCACAGACUUCUUUCACUUAAGAACACAAGACAGCACUUCAGCACCAUACUUGGGGGCCAUUAUAAACAGCACAAUCACCUACAAAAAGCACAAAAAUGUGGCACUAAAUAGACUGCAAAAAGGAUACUUGUUUGCAGUAUGAGAGCUAAAACAAGAAAGCAAAGUAUCCCCUUGUUUGUCCUCAGCUAGGACAGGUGACUCAAAUUUUUCGCCAGUGUGUGAAUGUGAGUAACCACGAAAGUGCAGCGAGUAUUGCUUUUGGAGUUACAAAUACAUUUUAGCAAAUAGGAGAAUUCACAAACAGGGAAUCUGUGAGUAAUAAGGAUCUACUGUAUAUAUCUCUGAAUAUAUAAUGGGGGAUUAGAUUUUUAGUAAGAUCAAGAAAAGGCAAAAGUAAUCCAUGAUUACAGGAGUCAGAGUAUUGCUUUCCUUUGUGUGGGACAUUGACAAAGCAACUGCGAUGAUGGAAAUGUUUCAUAUCUUGAUUUGGGUGGUCAUUUAAUUGAGUUUAUACAUUUUUCAAAACUUACCAAACUGUACAUUUAAUAUUUGUAAAUAAUACCUCAGUAAAAAGAAAACACUGCAGAUAAAGAUGUUUUCCAUCAUAUUUCUUUCAGUCUACAUGUAUCAUCACAUUUAAAGUAACUGCCUCGUGUUCAGCAUAUUGUUGACUUUUGUUAUUUUAAUCAGUCUAAAAAUCUUUUUCUUUUAAUUAGAGUGUUUAUGCUGGCUUCUUUUAAUGUGAUUCUAGGAUAAUUAGGUUUAAGCCAAUCAACUUAUGUGUUUUUUGUUUGUCCCACCUGAUAUUUGUCAAUUGAUCCCUUCUAUCCUGCCUGCUUUUGUACUAAUCAACUAUUUUUUCAUUGUUCCAUUUGUUUCCCUGUUUGCUUUAAAUUUUCAUGAUCUCAUGUUAUUCUUUUACGGUUUCCCUAGAGGUUAAAAUAUGUACCAGCGACUUGUCACAUCUAACUUAAACUAAUACUUUUACCACUUCUGCAAAGAGUCUUGAAAGUGUUUAUCUUCCUUUUUUCCUUCCUGUUCUUUGUUGCACUUUUGUCCCAUAAUUUACUUCUAUAUAUAACAUAAAUCUUUUAAGACACUAUCGUUAUAGUUGUUUUGAACAGCCAAUUUUCAUUUAUAGUUACCCACAUAACUUCCCUUUCCAUUUUUCUUAAAAGAAAAAAUAAAGACAAAGAAGGUUUUUCAGAUUCACCCAAUCCCAGGCAGCCCCUCAUUUUCAUAUUAACUAGUUAUAUUUUUCCAUCAUAAUAAUGACCCUAACAAAUAUUCUUGUUCUUCCUUUCCUUGCAUAUUUUCUGACUACCUCCAAGAGCAAUGAAGGGUCCGUGAGAGGGAAUUUGUGUGUGUGCCUAGCACCUAGCACAACGCUAUGCUAGAGAAAUGGCUGCUCAAUCAAUAUUUGUUAAAUUGCCUGAGCAUUCCAGCUUUGCGUUUUGAGCCUUGCCACUUCCCAUCCCCACCCCCAAAGUUCCAUGCUCCCUGGCUUUGUGAUGCAAUCUCCAAGGAAGGUUGAGCAGCCUGAGGGUGAAGAGGGAGAGCAAACAUGGAGGAUGUGAUCGGAAGUGAGCAGUUCGUCUCCACGAUGAAGGACGAGGAGGUAGGGAAAGAAGGAAGCAGUUGUCACAUGGGGAAAUGGCGGACCCUGGACAUACCCUCUCGGGAGCUGAUGUGGCAGUGGCAACGGCUGCUUGUGGACCCUGCUGCACCUCAGAACAGACCCUUAGGGGCUGCCAGCUGUCAUGUAGAGGCUCCUACAGCAAGCCCCGUGUAGGCCCAGGGAAGCAUGUCCUCAGCACUUCUUCUCUUCUCUUACAUGUAGACUAGUUGUCUCGUUCUAGAAUCUGGAGAAGGAGACUAGUACAUUGGGCUGCAAAGGUAUGAAAAAGUCCUCUUAAUAAUCGAAACUCCGAGGGACAGAGGAACCUCUGGAAAAUCUGGCAUCAGAGGGAAGGAAGGGGCUCCCUCAUUCAGGACACCUCAGGGCUGUGCAGCCUAGGGGAACACUUGAAUUCCUUCUGGAUUUGAAGAGGUUUGGUGAAGGGCCCUGGGAAAAACCAUCCAGUGUAGACUCAUGUCUCUCAUUAAUCAUUUUUAAAGUUGGCAUGCUUUCCCUAUGAGUGCCUACACGAGGAUCUGGCAUGCCAUGAAUCAUCUCUCCUUCUGUCUCCUGGUGCCUGCACAUAUUCACAGAUUAUUCUCUGGAUCCAGAGUGCAAGUAAGUGAUUCUGGAACAGGAGGUGGCUGGAAGUGUCUUUCUCUCUUGAGCAGACUUCAUUCCAAUUGAAUUAAGACAUCAGCAAAGCGCAUUUAAGUGGACAUCUAAUCCUACCAUGAAAAUCAUCAGGUAAGGACAUUCCCGCCCUGAAAACAAGAAAGAAGGAGGUCUGUUCUUUCCAAAUGUACUCAGGGCAGGUGAGGAGACACCUCUUCUGGGUAGGGUAGAAGAGGGUGGGGGUAGGUUUGGCUUGGCCGGGGUUUUGAAGAAAUUCAGAUGGCCAUGCACACACAUACUGAAAGCAGCCCACGUAGUUCUCUGUUGUCACCAUGUGAGCGCGGCUGAACUUCGUGCCCAGGACUCAUACCUGGUGAGUAGUUGUCCCUAUGUUCGCUUUGUCUUUUCUUUAUACGUGUGUGAAGGAGUGAAGGGAGGGGAGGCAGCUCAGACCUCCUGAGAAUGGGAAAUGCCAUUUUGUCUUCCCUUUUACAUUUUUUGUGUGUGUGCCCUGAGAGAGCUUGAGAGAGAGAGCAGGAGAGAGAGAGAAGCAGAAAAAGCAAGAGGGAGAGGGAAAGAUUUGAAGACGCAAGAACACAGGACCCUGGAGACCAUCUGUGGGACCGCAGCCCUUUGUGUCAGGGGAGCAGGUGCUCCAUUUUACACCCGUGUGUCAGGAAUGGGGGACAUCCCAACCCCCACCGCGGUGAGUUUCCUUACACCACAUUCAGGCAGUUUCAUGGCCAACUGGUGUGUGUGCAGCUUGCUGCCCAUCUCAGAAGAGCUACACCCCUCCCUCUGCUCCAGAAAAGGAAAGUGCUCCAGGCUGUCUGCUCCCCUCGCUGCCCUAGCCUUGCCCGGCCAGUGAUGACUGCCCCAGGUGUCUGUUCCAGUCCUACAAGAGCUCCAGGCUUUCCCAGGCUGCACCACCUGCUCAGGUCAUGGGGCUGGGAAGGGGCAGCAAAUGGCCUCUGAGGAAGGCCAGCUGUCUCUAGGAUCUGUGCUCUUACCCACUGUGCUUUAUUGGCUCUGCAGAAGUGAGGCCUGGCAGGAGGAGAGGGAGAAGCAGAGGCUGGAGCCUUUCCUGCCGCUGAGCCUUCUUCUUGAGACGUCACUCAGGACAUGCAGGCACUUUCAAACAUCCCAUUUCCAAAAUGGUGUGGGUGGGCAGUCCGGUGGCCUGGGAUAGUUGGAGGUGUCUACACAGCCCUAAUGGAAAUGCCUCGGUGUCUCCAAAGGCCUGUGCAGGUAACCUGCUUUCAUAAAAUAUUUGUCAGUCACAGACAAAAAGUCUUUGCAAAAUUAGGCUGACUGCUGCGUAUCUAUGCCGGGUUAACAGGGAUGUGGCGUGGCUCAGUGAAUUUUGCUGGUUCUGGGUUCCCUGUUCCCUGCAGACUGAGUUUUCAUGCCGCAGCACCAUCUGAGAAUCAGGAAGCAGAGAUGUUGGCACGAAGCUGGCUGUGAUAGCAGGAGUCGUGGCCAUGGUGCGGAUGGAAAGCUGAUGCCCAGCAGGACUCUGCAUUCAGUGUGCUUGUAGUCAGGUAGAGGAGGAAGAGGCCGGUACACAAAUGGGUGAAAUGAAAGGAGGUCAUGACAGAGAUGGAGGUAAGAGGCCCCUCCCACUCAUGAGGACAUAUGGAAAUGAGGACCCCUGGGCUUCAGAUGCUGCUUUCUCAGCAAGGUAAAGGGUAAACACUGUCUCUCUGUCCUCAGUCGCCCAGUUCCACUUGGGAAACCUAAUCAGGUCUUCUUUGUCUUCUUCCUCUCAGGACACAGUAGAUACAGGGCUUGGAUCCUCAGUAAUGUUCCCUGCUUCUCCAUGUAAAAAGAUGGUGUGUCUUGCAGACCAAGGUGUUUGUGUUGCGGUUCCUAAAGUAAUCUCACAACCUUCCAUGUGGAAUGACAGGACAUUUCCAUGGUGAUGAGAGUAAUUCUUGAUCUCCACCCCCUCUGCAAUUGAUUUGCUGAGGCAGCUGGUGAGAGUGGGGCAGGAGGUGGGAGGAGAAUGUGGCAUAGGGACCUUGCCACCCUCUGUCUUCUUGUGCUUCCUGAUAGGGACAAGGCAGAGGUGAGAGUGGCAUCUGUGUGGGUUGGGGUGGGGCAUGGAGGCAGGUGGGUAUCCUGGUGUCCUGUGUUCUCCUGAUUCUCAUGAUGUGCAUGGCAGAAGCUUAUUUUGAUUUCUCAGUGCUGUGUUUUCUUUUCUUCCCUUCCUGUUCCCUUAAGUCUCUGCUCGCAAACAUACCCCUGUGAUGCAGGCUGCCUGGAGACGGUAUCUCAGAGCUGCCAAGCAUUUGCUGUGGGGUUCAUGUCAGCCAGCUCAAGCUCCUGUCCUCAAAACCAUCCCAACUCCAAAUCUUGUCAAUAAAGGACAGCUGCCAUUUGUGGUCAAUUAUGUGAGGCCUCAUUGCUUUGGUCCUCUCUACCAAUGAUGGUCACUGAAGACGGGGAGGACUAAGACUACAGGGCUCAUUGAACAAGUAACUUCCUCCCUUGGCCAAAAUGGGGACAUAUGAACUAACAACUUGCUGUUUUUAAGCAGUCAACUGGAAAGAAUGUUGCAAAUCCAGCAAUGUUUGGUCACCAAGCUACAUACCCGGCUCCUUCCAACUCUAAGCAAAAGGUAGUAUUGAUGAAGUGAAACAUAUGACCUAUGCCAGUAAUUGUGAAGGCAUUAAAGAUGCUCCAUUCCAGGCAAAACAACAUCUUACUGCUCUUUGUUGUUGCUUAAGGAGCCCCCACCUUUUAACACUGUAACCUGUUACCUUUCGCUUUGGAAAUAACAACAAAGGCUUACAAGACAAAGGAAUGUCAAAAUACCGUGUAGUGGUUUGGUGGAUUGUUAUAAUAAGGAUGCCCAAUUAAUCUUGUGUCCCUCUGAACACACACCCUUUUUAAUGGGCCUUUCUCUCCUCUUCCCUUAAGGGGUUGAAUUUAUUUCCCCCAGGCAGUGAUGUUGGGCUGGGUUGUAACUUGUUUCUGUCAAUAGGAUGUUUCAGAUGUGGCUUUGCUCACCUUCCUAGGCUAAGCUUUAAGGUGCUUUGCGGUUUCUGCCUUUGCCCUUGUUGGUAACCUUGAUAUCCUUUAGUCUAAUGAGAUCAGACUACUUGUUUAGUUCAUAGCUUUAAGCAAUUUAACUUCUAGAAGCUUUAUUCUUCAUCUACAAAUGUGUGAUAAAUAUGCAUAUUGCCUUAGGGUUUUUAGUUGAUUAGAUGAAAUAAUACAUGUGUUCCUAACCAACUCACUGUACUGUCACUAUGGAACAAAGCCUCAAGGAGAAAAGGUGCUGGAAAUGACUAUGUACAAUUGAAAAUUUUACUAUAUCUGAUUAAAAUUUUGUUAAAUAGCUUAGAAAACACUUUGAAAAUAUUUAAAAUAUAUGACACAGAGUCAAACGUAUUAAUACAUAAAAACAUUUCAAAAAUCAAUCAGAAAAGAUAUGGUAUCAAACAUUGGGAAUAAGAUCAUGUCUCAAAAAUAUUUACUAGGCUGCUUAAUGCCUUUGAGAGUUGACCUGGAAGAAAUAUUUAUUCCUUUAUCAAUUAUUUACUAAGAAUAUAGUAGAUACCAGGCUGUUUCAUGUGCUAGGAAUACAACAGAGAAUUAAAUAGACUCAAAACAUGUGCUCAUGGAAUUGACAUCUUGUAAUUAAAAAAUUUUAAUUUUUAAUUUAAAAAAUUAACUGGAAAAUAUUUAGGAUGCACAGAAGUGAUAAAUGAUACAGGGAAAAUAUAAACUAGGAACAGAGUUAGAGAGUGCUGUAAGGACAGGUGUUAAGGUUUCAAAUAUAGUGGAUGAUGCUGCAAUGAGCAUCUGUGCAAUUUUUUAUGUGGACGUAUCUUUUCAUUUCUCUUGGAUAUAUACCUGAGUGGAAUUGUUGGUACAUAUGGUAACUCAGUUUAGCAUUGUGAGGAAGUGCCAAACUGCUUCCAAAGUAGCUAGUCCAUUUUAUAUUCCCACCAGUAAUCAAUGAAUUUUUCUGGUUCUUCACUUUGUUCUUAACCAACACUUGUUGUCUUAUUGAGUAUAGCCAUCCUAGUAGGUGUGAAGUCAAAUUUCAUCAUGAUUUUGGUUUGUAUUUUUCUAGUUUUUAAUUAUGUUGCACAUUUUUUCAUAAGCUUAUUGGCAACAUGAAUAUCUUUGUAGAAAUGUCUGUUCAAAUCAUUUGUCAAUUUUUUAAUUGGAUUAUUUCUCUUUUUAUUAUUGAGUUAUAAGUGUUCUUUAUAUAUUCUGGGUACUAGGCCCAUAUCAGAUAUAUGAUUCUGGAAUACAAUAUUAAAUAUACAUUUUUAGAGCACAUAUCUUUGCCUUGCUCAUGACCUUAUAUAUAAAACUUUGAGUCUUUCUCAACUGAAUAUGAUGUUAGCUGGAGGUUUUUUUAAGAUGCCUUUAAUUAGGUUGAGGAGUUUCACGUCUAUCCCUAGCUUGACAAGUUUUGUCUUCAUCAUGAGAGAGUUAAUUUUUUAUUAGCUACUUUAACUACAUCCUUUGAAAAGAUAAUUUUUUUCACCUUUAUUGUCUUAUAGUGAAAUGCAUUGUUUCAUUUUUGGAUGUUAAUCCAUCGUUGCAUUCUUGGGGUAAACUCCAAAGUGUCAUGAAAUAUGAGAAUCUUUAUAAAUUGCUGGAUAAAAUAUGAUAAUAUUUUCUUAAAGAUUUUUGAAUCUGUAUUUAAGAGAAAUAUUGCUUUGUAGGUUUUUUUUGGUCAUAUGUUUGCCUAAUUUUGGAAUUAGAGCCAUACAAGAUUUAAAAAAUGAUUUCAGAUGUAUUUUCUUUUAAUGAUUAUUUUAAUAUGAAUUGAAUUUCUUUACCUGAUGUGAAGUUCAUGUUUACAUUUUUUUUCUUGGUAAGUUUUGGUUGCCUGUGUCUUUCAUGAAUUUUAUUGCUUUUAUCAAGUUUGUCAAAGUUAUUAGCAUAAAAUUUUUAAUAAUAUCCUCCAAUUAUACUUCUGAUGUCUCUA
Equus caballus (horse) is the source of this 8573-nucleotide non-coding RNA. NCBI's taxonomy places the organism in Eukaryota, Metazoa, Chordata, Mammalia, Perissodactyla, Equidae. The record is from RefSeq and is a predicted model, not a curated record.